GACGAACGCUGGCGGCGUGCUUAACACAUGCAAGUCGAACGGUGAAGCGCCUUCCUUUUUGGUGGGUGUGGAGGAGUGGCGAACGGGUGAACAACACGUGAGUAACCUUCCCCGUUCUUCUGGAUAACCGCAUGAAAGUGUUGCUACAACGGGAUAUUCUGGGACUGUCGCAUGAUGGGUCUGGGCAAGAUAUUGUGUCGGUGGGGGAUGGGCUCGCGGCCUAUCAGCUUGUUGGGGGGGUGAUGGCCUACCAAGGCGGUGAGGGGUAGCCGGCCUGAGAGGAUGGGCGACAACGGUGGGGCGAAAAGGCCCAGAAGCCUACGAGAGGCAGCAGCAGGGAAGAUUAUACAACGGGCGAAAGCAGGAUGCAGCAGCGACGCGGGUUGGAAGAAGGACUUCGGCUGGUAGAGAACCUCUUUCGGGAGUGAAGCAGUCCGGCCUAGUUUGUGCGUGGGUUGACGGUACCUGAAUAAGAAGCGCCGGCUAACUACGUG
This 494-nucleotide ribosomal RNA is filed under the name uncultured bacterium. RNAcentral's name for it is "partial 16S ribosomal RNA". It matches the Rfam family "Bacterial small subunit ribosomal RNA", at positions 28 to 507 of the family's 1533-position model. The record is from RNAcentral.